AUUGAACGCUGGCGGCAGGCCUAACACAUGCAAGUCGAGCGAGCGGCGGACGGGUGAGUAAUGUCUGGGAAACUGCCUGAUGGAGGGGGAUAACUACUGGAAACGGUAGCUAAUACCGCAUACCAUCAGAUGGGCCCAGAUGGGAUUAGCUAGUAGGUGGGGUAACGGCUCACCUAGGCGACGAUCCCUAGCCGGUCUGAGAGGAUGAUCAGCCACACUGGAACUGAGACACGGUCCAGACUCCUACGGGAGGCAGCAGUGGGGAAUCUUGCACAAUGGGCGCAAGUCUGAUCCAGCAACGCCGCGUGUGUGAAGAAGGUCUUCGGGUUGUAAAGCACUUUCAUCGGAGAGGCGGUACCCACACAGGAAGCAACGGCUAACUCCGUGCCAGCAGCCGCGGUAAUUC
Molecule: ribosomal RNA, 406 nt
Filed under: uncultured bacterium
Lineage: Bacteria
Description: partial 16S ribosomal RNA
Rfam family: Bacterial small subunit ribosomal RNA
Source: RNAcentral